GUAUGUUGGAGAGGAAGAUCAGUUCCACGGCAAGAGAGAGUGAUGCGUCAGGUGUACGCUUCCCGCAAGUGAAGGAGGAAAACCGUGCGGAGGGCGACUCAUGUUGAGUUGAUCGGCUGAAGCCUUUUUUCUUCUUCUCCUCUCUCCUGCUCCGAUCUGCGCCGCUCCACGCUCUACGCGUAAAAAUCGCCACUCGGUGCUUUCAGGUCAACGUGAGGUCCUUGUCGAGCAGGUAUGCCUGAGACGUGCUGCUAAACAGAGGCUUACCCUCAUCCAAAGGGAGCUGCCCAAUAGGAAAGAAGAAACGAGACAAUGCUGUCCAGCAGCUUGAAGUUCUGCAUGUGUCAGCAAGCUUUGGGCACGACGAAUUCUCAGUGUCCUUGUAGGUACACAGGUGAGCACAUUGUUCUUAUUCUCAGAAGGAUGGCGGUAUGGAGCCCGUUAGCACUGUAGCAAUGGAAUCAGCUGUAGGUGACUACAGAGGGAUGAGCUCAAAAUUCUCCCCUUCACAAUCAACAUAACACAGCGCAAGCACAAGCAGGUACUGUGUGGCAAUAUCCAUGAUCUCAUCUGUCUGGACUGACACAACAGCCCUGCUCUGCUCUGGGCUGAUGACGUCCUCCCUCACGAGAGAAAACAAGUAUCUCAUGAGCUCGUUCUGCAUCGUUCCCCUAGAAACCGUGGCGUUCUCAAGGCGCUCCUUUCUGGGGUAUUCUGGAAUCCCGGGGUUACCUGUACUCCGAACUCACCGCCGCUGGCUACACAUCAGUUAAAUGGAGCUCCAUCAGCUCUCACUUGUUUCCUCCCAGAAACCUGUGGGUUGAUUUCCCCAAAUAUUUUGGCUCAUUGUCCAUGUUUCCUGUGAAACUUUGCUGAUCAAACAAUAUUUUCUAUCCCUGCAUACAAUAACAUAAGAAAUAGUGAAAAGGUCUAAAGAUAGAGAAAUUUGUCUAUGUCAGGUAGUUCACUGUGUCAGCUUAUAGUCUACCUGAGCACCGUUUAACAAAACCACUGUGUUUAUAGCAACUAAUAACAUUACAGACAUAACUGACUACCAUUGUAACGAUAUAGACAGUAAUAGUGUCAACAUAUAUUUGCUAAUUUUGCAUUUUUGUGUAUAACUUUGAAGACACAGCUGAGACCAGCAUUCAAACUAAGGAGGAGUUCCCUGAUCUGAUCCAAUCCUUCCUUGUCUUAACACAUUCCUUUUAUCUUCCGUGUUUACUUCUAUUUGUUAUCCUCUCCUAUUUUUUCUUUUCUUUUUAGGGGGAAAUCAGUCAUUAAAGGGUUAUUUUUGUUUAUGUACUUUGUUAUUUAUGUCAUUUAGGUUGUGUCUGCAUUUUGGUUCUUCUCCAUAAAGAGCUAAAAUGUCACAAUGGGUGAACUAAUGAUCAAAACUAAAUGGCUUCAGACUGCUUAUAUCAUACUUACGACAUAUACUUGCAUGCGGUCCACCAAAAAAUACCAACCACCCAUAGCCCUGUGGUGAUGACACUAUGCCUGAGAAGCACACAGUGUAACUUCAUUACAAAGAAGGUCUUUGUCUAUUAUGACUCAGUGUUUUCUGUGUAGGAACAACACACAACCAUGCUAGUCCUUAAAUUUGGAAAAUUGUAAUAAAUGUGUUUCGGGCAUGAGGAUCACUGUGAUCUUCAAGUUGUAUUGUACGUAAUGACACAUGAUGGCGAUGCUAUUAAACAUAGCAUGAAAAACGUUUGCAUCAUCAUGAUCUGUAGGUUUUAGUCACCAGUACAGAGGAGGGUCUGAAUCGAAAUCCACACAUCCAUAUGCGCUAAAAAAAAAUGUGUGUAAUAUUGUUUCAUAAGUACAAUAUAAAAUGUUGCAUUUAAUGGAAUCUGGUUAUUUGAAAUUCACUUGACAGGUGCACAUUCAGUUUACACCAAGCACAUUUUCCUUAGUGAUCAAUUAUUUGAAAAAAUAAAUCUUUCAUUUCAUAUUUCAGUCGCCUUUUUUAAAAUAUUGCUUCAUGUUUACUGAGGGUCAGGGAUGUUUUUUUGUUUUGUUUUUUUUUGAGUGUGGCCUCAUGCUAGAAGUUUUAAUUCCAUGCUACAAGUCUGGUUAAUUACACGUUAAGGUUUCUUGACAAAACACCAUAAUUC
Molecule: long non-coding RNA, 2120 nt
Organism: Astatotilapia calliptera (eastern happy)
Lineage: Eukaryota; Metazoa; Chordata; Actinopteri; Cichliformes; Cichlidae
Source: Ensembl